GUACACUCCUACGGGAGGCAGCAGUGGGGAAUAUUGGACAAUGGGCGCAAGCCUGAUCCAGCCAUGCCGCGUGAGUGAUGAAGGCCCUAGGGUUGUAAAGCUCUUUCACCGGAGAAGAUAAUGACGGUAUCCGGAGAAGAAGCCCCGGCUAACUUCGUGCCAGCAGCCGCGGUAAUACGAAGGGGGCUAGCGUUGUUCGGAAUUACUGGGCGUAAAGCGCACGUAGGCGGAUCGAUCAGUCAGGGGUGAAAUCCCAGGGCUCAACCCUGGAACUGCCUUUGAUACUGUCGAUCUGGAGUAUGGAAGAGGUGAGUGGAAUUCCGAGUGUAGAGGUGAAAUUCGUAGAUAUUCGGAGGAACACCAGUGGCGAAGGCGGCUCACUGGUCCAUUACUGACGCUGAGGUGCGAAAGCGUGGGGAGCAAACAGGAUUAGAAACCCGAGUAGUCCCAUGAU
This 454-nucleotide ribosomal RNA is filed under the name uncultured organism. RNAcentral describes it as "partial 16S ribosomal RNA". It matches the Rfam family "Bacterial small subunit ribosomal RNA", at positions 331 to 801 of the family's 1533-position model. The record is from RNAcentral.